AGAAUGAACGCUGGCGGCAUGGAUANGCAUGCAAGUCGUACGAGAUCCCGCCUUCGGGCGGGAGGACAGUGGCGAAAGGGUGAGUAACACGUGAGUAUCUGCCUCCGGGUCGGGGACAGCCCGCGGAAACGCGGAUUAAUACCCGACGAACCCCUCGGGGUAAAGAGGAAUCGCCCGGAGAUGAGCUCGCGGCCCAUCAGCUGGUUGGCGGGGUAACGGCCCACCAAGGCGACGACGGGUAGGUGGUCUGAGAGGAUGGUCACCCACACUGGGACUGAGACACUGCCCAGACUCCUACGGGAGGCUGCAGUCGAGAAUCAUCCGCAAUGGGCGAAAGCCUGACGGUGCAAUGCCGCGUGGGGGAUGAAGGCCUUCGGGUCGUAAACCCCUGUCAGAAGGGACGAAGCAAGUGACGGUACCUUCAGAGGAAGCCACGGCUAACUACGUGCCAGCAGCCGCGGUAAUACGUAGGUGGCGAGCGUUAUUCGGAUUUACUGGGCGUAAAGGGUCCGCAGGGGGUUUGCCAAGUCCGGUGUGAAAGUCCAGGGCUCAACCCUGGAACUGCGCCGGAUACUGGUGUACUGGAGUGCGCGAAGGGCAGGCGGAAUUCCUGGUGUAGCGGUGGAAUGCGUGGAUAUCAGGUAGAACACCGACGGCGAAAGCGGCCUGCUGGCGCGCCACUGACCCUCAUGGACGAAAGCGUGGGGAGCAAACAGGAUUAGAUACCCUGGUAGUCCACGCUGUAAACGGUGCAGACCCGAUGCGGGGGGCAGCCCCCUCCGUGUCCAAGCCAACGCGUUAAGUCUGCCGCCUGGGGACUACGGUCGCAAGGCU
This 834-nucleotide ribosomal RNA is filed under the name uncultured organism. Its description in RNAcentral is "bacterial SSU rRNA". It matches the Rfam family "Bacterial small subunit ribosomal RNA", at positions 26 to 895 of the family's 1533-position model. The record is from RNAcentral.